GACGAACGCUGGCGGCGUGCUUAACACAUGCAAGUCGAACGGAAAGGCCCUGCUUUUGCGGGGUGCUCGAGUGGCGAACGGGUGAGUAACACGUGAGGAACCUGCCCUUGACUUUGGGAUAACUUUAGGAAACUGCGGCUAAUACCGGAGAUGAUCUCCUGCUGCAUGGUGGGGGUUGGAAAGUUUCGGCGGUUGUGGAUGGACUCGAGGCUUACCAGCUUGUUUGUGGGGUAGUGGCUGACCAAGGCUGUGACGGGUAGCCGGCCUGAGCGGGUGACCGGGGACAUUGGGACUGAGAUACGGCCCAGAAGCGUACGGGAGGCAGCGGUGGGGAAUAUUGCGCAAUGGGCGGACGCCUGAUGCAGAAGCGCCGCGUGCGGGAUGACGGGCUUCGGGGUGUAAACAGCUGUGGCCUGUGACGAGGCGGGAGUGACGGUAAUGGGUAAAGAAGCACCGGCUAACUACGUG
RNAcentral lists this ribosomal RNA (468 nucleotides) under uncultured bacterium. RNAcentral's name for it is "partial 16S ribosomal RNA". It matches the Rfam family "Bacterial small subunit ribosomal RNA", at positions 28 to 507 of the family's 1533-position model. The record is from RNAcentral.